CUACAGUGCGCAGGCACCUUCCGCCGGGUGACUUUGGAAGUGUGGUUGGACCCAGCUGUUCUCGACGUGUGGGCGUCUUCCGGGCGUCGUUUAGAGACGCCUGAGGUUGAGCCCGGCUCCAGAAUGUUAAUGCUACUGCAGCAGAUGUAAUGCCGCGUGUGGUCGGUCUCGGUUCUGUGUCGGAAAGCGGUGCUUAGCAGUCACCCCAAAGGUUAUCCGCUUAACGCAACAAGCAGGGAAACCAGAUGGACUGCCUAGCAACAGCAUCCUCCUCUCCCCCCACCUUCUGCAUACCUGGGGCCUGUGGUUGCCCUUUAGUGACCUACCUGAAAAGUCGGCAUAGCACCGUGGGUAGGAGGGAGGCCUGAGAGGAGCACCAGACCCUGAACCCUAGCUGUGCUGCCUAGGCCCAGCCCUCUUCGGGGCUUCCUUUUGGCCAGAUUUCAUCGGCACACCAGAAAGAGUGAGGGCUCUGAGCUCCAAGUGUCUUCUGCCGCCAAACUGCCCCAUCUGGCCCACCCUCCCACGCAGACACACAUAAUCCUGCCUCCCCACAAAAUGGUGUAAUCUGUCUUCCAAGCUCAAGAAAGUCUGACAUGUGACCACUUCCUGCUGUACAGCAUAGCCCACACGUUCUAGAAACCGGG
This 647-nucleotide long non-coding RNA is filed under the name Heterocephalus glaber (naked mole-rat). RNAcentral describes it as "lncRNA (ENSHGLG00100038047.1)". Lineage: Eukaryota; Metazoa; Chordata; Mammalia; Rodentia; Bathyergidae. The record is from RNAcentral.